GGAGGUAUAGCUCAGUGGUAGAGUACAUGCUUAGCAUGCAAGAGGUCCUGGGUUCAAUCCCCAGUGCCUCCU
Molecule: transfer RNA, 72 nt
Filed under: Camelus bactrianus (Bactrian camel)
Lineage: Eukaryota; Metazoa; Chordata; Mammalia; Artiodactyla; Camelidae
Also listed under: 1 other name
Rfam family: tRNA
About the family: Transfer RNA (tRNA) molecules are approximately 80 nucleotides in length. Their secondary structure includes four short double-helical elements and three loops (D, anti-codon, and T loops).
Source: Rfam by way of RNAcentral